RNAcentral lists this long non-coding RNA (435 nucleotides) under Homalodisca vitripennis (glassy-winged sharpshooter). RNAcentral's name for it is "uncharacterized LOC124372415". The record is from RNAcentral. Lineage: Eukaryota; Metazoa; Arthropoda; Insecta; Hemiptera; Cicadellidae.
AGGACCACAUAUGCCUUAAGUAGAUUAUUAUAAGUGAUGGAGAGCAAGUUUGGAAGUAAAUGCCAAAGCACAAAGAUGCCUUGCUGUAUUGAGAGAGGAACAGAUAAAUGCUAUGCAAUCAUUGAGUUUCCAGAUGAUGGUAUUUAACUUGUACCGAAACUUUGGUUAUGUGAUGAUGCCUGUGGCCUAACUAUGUGAAUCAACUAAACAUGAACAAUAGCUGCUUACAGGACACAGAAAGGAGAGGACCAGUAGCAGCAUCUCCAAAGAAAGCAGUAAUUCAAAUGUGGGGAAAUUGGAGUAAAUGUAUUAAUCUAGUUAUUUAUUGUAUAAAUAGAAGUUAAAUUAAUUUAAAAAUUGUUUUAUUAUAUUCAUAGUUUAUUAUUUUUAAUGCAUUUUAUUUUUUCUUGUUAAUCAUACAUAUUUCAAUAUAUA